Molecule: transfer RNA, 65 nt
Filed under: Suhpalacsa longialata
Lineage: Eukaryota; Metazoa; Arthropoda; Insecta; Neuroptera; Myrmeleontidae
Also listed under: 1 other name
Description: tRNA-His
Source: RNAcentral
AUUUAAAUAGUUUAAAUAAAAUAUUGAUUUGUGGUGUCAAAGAUAUGAUUAAAUCAUUUUAAAUA